UGCNAGUCGUACGAGANUAAACUCAAGUGGCGGACGGGUGAGUAACACGUAAGAAUUUGCCUUUAGGAGGGGGACAACAGCUGGAAACGGUUGCUAAUACCCCAUAUGCUUUCGAGUGAAAUGGAUUUUUCCGCCUGGAGAGAAGCUUGCGGCUGAUUAGCUUGUUGGUGAGGUAAUGGCUCACCAAGGCGACGAUCAGUAUCUGGUUUGAGAGGACGAUCAGACACACUGGAACUGAGACACGGUCCAGACUCCUACGGGAGGCAGCAGUAGGGAAUUUUCCGCAAUGGGCGAAAGCCUGACGGAGCAAUCUCGCGUGAGGGAUGACGGCCUAUGGGUUGUAAACCUCUUUUUUCAGGGAGGAAUAAAUGACGUGUACCCGAAGAAUAAGCAUCGGCUAACUCCGUGCCAGCAGCCGCGGUAAGACGGAGGAUGCAAGUGUUAUCCGGAAUCACUGGGCGUAAAGCGUCUGUAGGUGGUUUAAUAAGUCAACUGUUAAAUCUUAAAGCUUAACUUUGAAAUCGCAGUCGAAACUAUUAGACUAGAGUAUAGUAGGGGUAAAGGGAAUUUCCAGUGGAGCGGUGAAAUGCGUAGAGAUUGGAAAGAACACCGAUGGCGAAGGCACUUUACUGGGCUAUUACUAACACUCAGAGACGANNGCUAGGGUAGCNNAUGGGAUUAGAUACCCCAGUAGUCCUAGCUGUAAACAAUGGAUACUAGAUGUUGAACAGAUCGACCUGUGCAGUAUCAAAGCUAACGCGUUAAGUAUCCCGCCUGGGAAGUAUGCUCGCAAGANUGAAACUCAAAGGAAUUGANNGGGGCCCGCACAAGCGGNGGANCAUGU
This 844-nucleotide ribosomal RNA is filed under the name uncultured bacterium. RNAcentral describes it as "bacterial SSU rRNA". It matches the Rfam family "Bacterial small subunit ribosomal RNA", at positions 56 to 942 of the family's 1533-position model. The record is from RNAcentral.